AAACGAUUGAAGCCAGUCGUACCUACGGGUAAUCAGCCUUUCGGAAGCGAUUCUGUGGGUUUUGAGGAGCUUCACGGCCCUCAUGGUCUACAUAUUUGUAUCCCUUGGGUGUACUUUCCCGGUGGUUGGUUAACAUCAAUUUCGGUCAUCAUAAAAUGAUGGGAGGAAUGUAGCUUCGAUCUCGGUUGAAGUGUUAUAGCCUCUGGUAG
RNAcentral lists this ribosomal RNA (209 nucleotides) under Glomeraceae sp. RNAcentral describes it as "partial large subunit ribosomal RNA". The record is from RNAcentral. Lineage: Eukaryota; Fungi; Glomeromycota; Glomeromycetes; Glomerales; Glomeraceae.